This 485-nucleotide ribosomal RNA is filed under the name uncultured bacterium. RNAcentral's name for it is "partial 16S ribosomal RNA". It matches the Rfam family "Bacterial small subunit ribosomal RNA", at positions 28 to 507 of the family's 1533-position model. The record is from RNAcentral.
GAUGAACGCUAGCGACAGGCUUAACACAUGCAAGUCGAGGGGCAGCACAGGUAGCAAUACCGGGUGGCGACCGGCGCACGGGUGAGUAACGCGUAUGCAACUUACCUAUCAGAGGGGGAUAACCCGGCGAAAGUCGGACUAAUACCGCAUGAAGCAGGGGUCCCGCAUGGGGAUAUUUGCUAAAGAUUCAUCGCUGAUAGAUAGGCAUGCGUUCCAUUAGGCAGUUGGCGGGGUAACGGCCCACCAAACCGACGAUGGAUAGGGGUUCUGAGAGGAAGGUCCCCCACAUUGGUACUGAGACACGGACCAAACUCCUACGGGAGGCAGCAGUGAGGAAUAUUGGUCAAUGGCCGAGAGGCUGAACCAGCCAAGUCGCAUGAGGGAUGAAGGUUCUAUGGAUCGUAAACCUCUUUUAUAAGGGAAUAAAGUGCGGGACGUGUCCCGUUUUGUAUGUACCUUAUGAAUAAGGAUCGGCUAACUCCGUG